Molecule: ribosomal RNA, 259 nt
Filed under: uncultured bacterium
Lineage: Bacteria
Description: partial 16S ribosomal RNA
Rfam family: Bacterial small subunit ribosomal RNA
Source: RNAcentral
GUCCGCGCUGUAACGAUGAGUGCUAGACGGUGGAGGUAUUGACCCUUCGCUGCCGAAGCUAACGCGUUAAGCACUCCGCCUGGGAGUACGGUCGCAAGACUAAACUCAAAGGAAUUGACGGGCCCGCACAAGCGGUGGAGCAUGUGGUUUAAUUCGACGCAACGCGCAAACCUUACCUGGGUUAAAUCCGCCGGAACCUGUCUGAAAGGAUGGGGUGCCCCUUCGGGGAAUCGGUGAGAAGGUGCUGCAUGGCUGUCGU